Molecule: non-coding RNA, 27 nt
Filed under: Mus musculus (house mouse)
Lineage: Eukaryota; Metazoa; Chordata; Mammalia; Rodentia; Muridae
Source: RNAcentral
UAUCACACUGGUUAAAACAGCUAUAAC